This 466-nucleotide long non-coding RNA is filed under the name Mus musculus (house mouse). RNAcentral describes it as "long non-coding RNA chr2:14672254-14672720". The record is from RNAcentral. Lineage: Eukaryota; Metazoa; Chordata; Mammalia; Rodentia; Muridae.
ACACCAGCCAACCCGAGCGAACCUUCAUUGCCAUCAAGCCAGAUGGCGUACAGCGCAGCCUAGUGGGUGAGAUCAUCAAGCGAUUUGAGCAGAAGGGGUUCUACCUGGUGGCCAUGAAGUUCCUUCGGGCUUCUGAAGAACACAUGAAGCAGCUUUACAUUGACCUGAAAGACUGUCCUGUACUUUCUUCCGGGGGCCAAUGAAGUACAUGAACUCAGGGCCUGUGGUGGCCAUGGUCUGGGAGGGGCUCAGUGUGGUGAAAUCUGGCCGAGUGAUGCUGGGGGGAGGGGGGAACCAAUCCAGCUGAUUCAAAGCCAGGCACCAUUUGUGGGAAUUUCUGCAUUCAAGUUGGCAGGAACGUCAUUCAUAGCAGCAAUUCAGAGGAGAGUGCUGAGAAAGAGAUCCAUCUAUGGUUUAAGCCCGAAGAACUGAUCAACUACAAGUCUUUUUUUUUUUUUUUAAUUAG